UAUAAAACAUAAAAGUGUUCGAUUUUCAAUUUUUCUAAAUUACUUGCAGGGGUGGGGGCGGUGAGGAGAGUGGAAGGCGAUCCUUGUGCCAUCUGGCGGUGCCAUGCGGAAUUUCGCUGAAGAAGCCAAAUUUACUGACCAUCUGUGCCUAGGGUGGGUUUCUCCGGGGAAAGGCUUUGAACAUCUCGUCGUUUUGAAACCAAGUGGCACAGAAGUUUGAGAAAGGCCUAGGUGAGCUGUAGAGUUGAGCAUUUUGCUGCAUUUAUUCAGAGGAUCGUGCUGGCGUCUGUGCAAUAUCCACCACUGAACACGUGAGGGCGUGCUCAAGUCUCCCGGGCCCUUGGUGUCAAUCAUCUGAAAUUUGCAUACUAGUCCUCCAGUCGCUUGGAGCUUGUCAGUCCGCUGUGGCAGCUGUAAGGGAAAGAAUCGGACGGAGAAGAAUGAAAAACCACUUCGUUCUAGCAGAGCGAAAGAAAAGCAAACACGAACCAAGGACAUAACACUUUAUAAUGGGAAAACACUCUCCAGCCCCCGGCCAGCUCCAACACGCCGAAGAAACUUGUCUGAAACGAGAAUUUGGAUGCAACAGGGCA
This 593-nucleotide long non-coding RNA is filed under the name Equus caballus (horse). RNAcentral's name for it is "lncRNA (ENSECAG00000049841.1)". Lineage: Eukaryota; Metazoa; Chordata; Mammalia; Perissodactyla; Equidae. The record is from RNAcentral.